RNAcentral lists this long non-coding RNA (477 nucleotides) under Equus caballus (horse). Its description in RNAcentral is "lncRNA (ENSECAG00000048994.1)". Lineage: Eukaryota; Metazoa; Chordata; Mammalia; Perissodactyla; Equidae. The record is from RNAcentral.
GGAGGAGGGAGGGGUGGCUUUGCGGGAGAGCGAGCGAGCUGCGGGGGAUCCGGGGGAUCCGCCAGGGCUACCGCCUCCCUGGGUCGCGCCGGCUGCCCUCCAUCAUCCGGAGAGAGGGAAACCCAAGGCGGCGCGAAUGGGGAAGGGUGAGGGUGUCUCCAGCCAAGAAGGUGGGGAAGAAGAGGGGAGACAGUUCACCCUCCAGAACCGCGAGGCCAGUCUGCGCUCCUGCAGUAAGGAAGCCACCGUUUCCCAUCCAGUAAUUCCGGGAAUUCCAGGAACUUCAUCACGUUUUUUUUUUUUUUUAACUAUGUGGAGUAAAACCAUUGUAAAAGCUUGUCCUGAUCUUGAAGAUAUGCCUGCUUUUACCAGAAUCAUAGGCUUUUAAAGCCCUGCCCAAAGGCAGGAAAGGCAUUUAUAACAUCGAUAGAGGAGUAAUCAAUGCCAAGAGCCAUUGAGAUAUUUUUUCUCCCCCCA